Molecule: ribosomal RNA, 560 nt
Filed under: Saccharomyces cerevisiae (brewer's yeast)
Lineage: Eukaryota; Fungi; Ascomycota; Saccharomycetes; Saccharomycetales; Saccharomycetaceae
Description: eukaryotic LSU rRNA
Rfam family: Eukaryotic large subunit ribosomal RNA
Source: RNAcentral
GAAAAGAAACCAACCGGGAUUGCCUUAGUAACGGCGAGUGAAGCGGCAAAAGCUCAAAUUGAAAUCUGGUACCUUCGGUGCCCGAGUUGUAAUUUGGAGAGGGCAACUUUGGGGCCGUUCCUUGUCUAUGUUCCUUGGAACAGGACGUCAUAGAGGGUGAGAAUCCCGUGUGGCGAGGAGUGCGGUUCUUGUAAAGUGCCUUCGAAGAGUCGAGUUGUUUGGGAAUGCAGCUCUAAGUGGGUGGUAAAUUCCAUCUAAAGCUAAAUAUUGGCGAGAGACCGAUAGCGAACAAGUACAGUGAUGGAAAGAUGAAAAGAACUUUGAAAAGAGAGUGAAAAAGUACGUGAAAUUGUUGAAAGGGAAGGGCAUUUGAUCAGACAUGGUGUUUUGUGCCCUCUGCUCCUUGUGGGUAGGGGAAUCUCGCAUUUCACUGGGCCAGCAUCAGUUUUGGUGGCAGGAUAAAUCCAUAGGAAUGUAGCUUGCCUCGGUAAGUAUUAUAGCCUGUGGGAAUACUGCCAGCUGGGACUGAGGACUGCGACGUAAGUUCAAGGAUGCUGGCA